AGUGAACGCUGGCGGCGUGCCUAAUACAUGCAAGUCGAACGGAGAUUAAGUAGCUUGCUAUUUACUCUUAGUGGCGCACGGGUGAGUAAUAUAUAGCUAACUUGCCCAUUACUAAGGGACAACAGUUGGAAACGACUGCUAAUACCUUAUACUCCGUAUCUAUAUAAGUAGAUACGGGAAAGUUUUUCGGUAAUGGAUAGGGCUAUAUCGUAUCAGCUAGUUGGUAAGGUAAUGGCUUACCAAGGCUAUGACGCGUAACUGGUCUGAGAGGAUGAUCAGUCACACUGGAACUGAGACACGGUCCAGACUCCUACGGGAGGCAGCAGUAGGGAAUAUUGCUCAAUGGGGGAAACCCUGAAGCAGCAACGCCGCGUGGAGGAUGACACUUUUCGGAGCGUAAACUCCUUUUCUUGGGAAAGAAUUAUGACGGUACCCAAGGAAUAAGCACCGGCUAACUCCGUG
This 462-nucleotide ribosomal RNA is filed under the name uncultured bacterium. Its description in RNAcentral is "partial 16S ribosomal RNA". It matches the Rfam family "Bacterial small subunit ribosomal RNA", at positions 29 to 507 of the family's 1533-position model. The record is from RNAcentral.